UUAAUUAUAAGUUAAAUAAUAAACUAUAAAUUUUCAAAAUUUAAAAU
This 47-nucleotide transfer RNA is filed under the name Rhopalomyia pomum. Its description in RNAcentral is "partial tRNA-Trp". The record is from RNAcentral. Lineage: Eukaryota; Metazoa; Arthropoda; Insecta; Diptera; Cecidomyiidae.